RNAcentral lists this unclassified non-coding RNA (524 nucleotides) under Hevea brasiliensis (rubber tree). The record is from RNAcentral. Lineage: Eukaryota; Viridiplantae; Streptophyta; Magnoliopsida; Malpighiales; Euphorbiaceae.
AUGCGCAUGGAGGUUUCUUUCAAGGCAAAGCCUAUACUCAGCAUUCCGCAAUGUAUACCCAGUCAUCAUUGAGGAGACCAAUAACUUGGAGAGGGGUUCCCACAAAGACUCAAUGAAAACUUUAAAGCGAUCAGAUGGAAGUAAGCCCAACAUUCCAGAGAUAGUCCUCUUCAUAGCAUCCAAUGUAGUAGGUGGAACAUCUCUCUGAAUAAGACUCACAUCCAAUGGUUCUAUUUCUUGUAUCAAAUCUGAGAGAACUGAUUUCUUAUCAGUAGAACCCGACUUGCGAUCAAAAACGAAAUCAUCGAAAGAGGAGGCGGAAUUAGAGGAAGCAAGAAUUAGGGUUCGGAUUUUUCUAGAGUUUGAGUUGAGAGUAGAAGUCAGAGGAGAAAGAGGGAAGGAAAGAGAGGAAGAAGGGGAAUUGUGGGGGUUGGAAAAGGAGAGGAACAGAGGAGGAGGAAGAGAAGAGGAGAGAAAGGAGGCAAAGGUUGCCAUAAAAAACAACCUUAGUUUGCAGUCUCUUU